CCUACGGGAGGCUGCAGUGGGGAAUAUUGGGCAAUGGGCGCAACCCUGACCCAGCAACGCCGCGUGAAGGAAGAAGGCCUUCGGGUUGUAAACUUCUUUUCUCAGGGACGAAGAAAGUGACGGUACCUUAGGAAUAAGCCACGGCUAACUACGUGCCAGCAGCCGCGGUAAUACGUAGGUGGCAAGCGUUAUCCGGAGUUACUGGGUGGAAAGGGCGGGUAGGCGGGAAAGCAAGUCAGAUGUGAAAACCAGGGGCUCAACCUGUGGCCUGCAUUUGAAACUGUUGUUCUUGAGUACUGGAGGGGCAGACGGAAUUCCUAGUGUAGCGGUGAAAUGCGUAGAUAUUAGGAGGAACACCAGUGGCGAAGGCGGUCUGCUGGACAGCAACUGACGCUGAGGCGCGAAAGCGUGGGGAGCAAACAGGAUUAGAUACCCGUGUAGUC
RNAcentral lists this ribosomal RNA (443 nucleotides) under uncultured bacterium. RNAcentral's name for it is "partial 16S ribosomal RNA". It matches the Rfam family "Bacterial small subunit ribosomal RNA", at positions 338 to 795 of the family's 1533-position model. The record is from RNAcentral.